RNAcentral lists this ribosomal RNA (400 nucleotides) under Gammarus fasciatus. RNAcentral describes it as "partial 16S ribosomal RNA". It matches the Rfam family "Bacterial large subunit ribosomal RNA", at positions 1946 to 2601 of the family's 2925-position model. Lineage: Eukaryota; Metazoa; Arthropoda; Malacostraca; Amphipoda; Gammaridae. The record is from RNAcentral.
CUGUGCUAAGGUAGCAUAGUCAUUUGUUUUUUAAUUGAGAACUGGAAUGAAAGGUUAAUCUUAUUUUAAUUUUUGUCCUACUAAAUAAUUAAUUAAAGUUAAGRUAAGAAUUCUUUAAUCUUCUAGGGGACGAUAAGACCCUAGAAGCUUGACAUUAAGUUAAACUAAUAGUUUAAGUUGAGUUUUUGUUUUACUGGGGCGGUAGAGAUAAAUAAGCUAUUUGAGUAUAAAAGAUCUUUAAAAUUAAGAUAGUUGGGAAUAGUUACUCUAGGGAUAACAUUGUAAUACUUUUGGAGAGAUCUUAUUGAUAAAUGAGUUUGCAACCUCGAUGUUGAAUUAAGAUGUCUAAGUGAUGCAGAAGGUACUUAAGAAGGUUUGUUCAACCUUUAAAAUCUUACAU